CCGCCCAUAGCUCAGUUGGUAGAGCACCUGCCUUUUAAGCAGAGGGUCGCAGGUUCGAUUCCUGCUGGGCGGA
Molecule: transfer RNA, 73 nt
Filed under: bacterium
Lineage: Bacteria
Description: tRNA-Lys
Rfam family: tRNA
About the family: Transfer RNA (tRNA) molecules are approximately 80 nucleotides in length.
Source: RNAcentral